This 301-nucleotide ribosomal RNA is filed under the name uncultured bacterium. Its description in RNAcentral is "partial 16S ribosomal RNA". It matches the Rfam family "Bacterial small subunit ribosomal RNA", at positions 509 to 807 of the family's 1533-position model. The record is from RNAcentral.
CAGUCGCCGCGGGAAUACGUAGGGUGCGAGCGUUAAUCGGAAUUACUGGGCGUAAAGCGUGCGCAGGCGGUUGUGUAAGACAGGUGUGAAAUCCCCGGGCUCAACCUGGGAAUGGCGCUUGUGACUGCUAAGCUAGAGUGCGGCAGAGGGGGAUGGAAUUCCGCGUGUAGCAGUGAAAUGCGUAGAUAUGCGGAGGAACACCGAUGGCGAAGGCAAUCCCCUGGGCCUGCACUGACGCUCAUGCACGAAAGCGUGGGGAGCAAACAGGAUUAGAUACCCCUGUAGUCCCUGUCUCUUAUAC